Pelobates fuscus (common spadefoot toad) is the source of this 3708-nucleotide RNA transcript. It is a transcript of the gene named prominin 1, with no coding region annotated. The record is from RefSeq and is a predicted model, not a curated record. The transcript is spliced from 30 exons. Lineage: Eukaryota; Metazoa; Chordata; Amphibia; Anura; Pelobatidae.
AACACUGCAACCAUUGGUCUGCAGGAGUGUGACUCUUCUCUCUGUAUGUUCUCAGUGACAGUGUUGCAGAUACCCGCUCUGCAGGAGAACGCCCGGCUGCUGGGAGAUGAGCAGCAGAAUGGGCUGUCAGAGAUACAUUGAAUGAGCCUUCACACAAAACACAGUGAUAAUCACACAAGUCAUUGAGAACAAGCUGUGGAAACGGAGUGUAAUAUAUGAGCUGCCUCGAUGCUCACAUCUGCAGAGCUUAAUAAGAACCUGUCAGCUAAUUCCCUCCCUACCUCCAUUCAGGAGAUCAGACACGGAGCUAAAGACAUCUGUUGCUUUCCUCUUCACGUCAUCAAAGACCAGCAAGACAGGGGCCUCAAAGCAUCUCCAACUAGUCUGGAACUGAUGUUGUUUUAAACUCUACAGACACAUGGCUAUCAAACUGCACUUACUUGUCUUGUUCCUUUGUGGAAGGACGGGUGCAGAAAGACACAUUAUUUAUAAUUCUGCCCCAGCACCCUUGGAUUUUGGAUAUGUUCCCACUGGAAGUUAUGAAACCAAUGCCUACCAUGAACCAGGGCCUAUCGGGUUAUUAUUUCAUUUGGUGCGGGGAUAUCUGUAUCUAGUUCAGCCCAAUCCAUUUCCUCAAGAACUCGUGAAGAAGAUUGCACAACAGAAGUUUGGCGAAACACGAAAUGAUUAUCAAAAGCCAGAGAACGUUGUUCUCACUCUCCAGACGAUACACUAUGAGAUGGGUUUCAUUAUUGCGGCUGCAGUUGGCCUGCUCUUUUCUCUGUUAAUGCCUCUGGUGGGUCUGUGCCUCUGCAUGUGUCGUUGCUGUGAAAACUGUGGCGGGGAAAUGCAUCAGAGACAUAAGAAAAAUGCCGACUGUCAGCGGGGCUGCUUCGCAACAUUCCUAUUUGUUUCUUCGGUGAUAAUAAGUGUAGGAGUACUUUGUGCUUACGCAGCAAAUCAAAAUCUUACAACUCAAAUUCGAGGAUCAAAGCAUCUUGUUCAGAGUAACUUUAAAGACUUGAGAACAUUAUUAAGUGAUGCUCCUACGCAAAUAGACUAUAUCCUGAGCAAGUUCAACAUUACCAAAGACAAAGCACUUUCUGAUCUUAACAAUAUCUCACCGUUGCUUGGUGAACGAGUACACGACCAGCUAGGAAAAGAUGUCCGUCCAGCUUUUGACGCAGUUCUUAACAUGGCAGGAGCUAUUAAAGAAACAAAAGAAGCUUUGGAGAACGUAAGCGUUGCCGUUGAAGUGUUGCAAGAGGCGACGGACCGCUUGAACACAAACUUAACAGAAGAAAAGCUGCAGCUCAACAGCACCCUAAGUGAUUCGGCAUGUUCCACAAAUGUAGCAAUGAUACCCUGCAAUAAUAUUAAGAAUUCAUUAGGUCAGCUACGGAUCAAUGCAAACUUCAACUCGUUGCCAGACAUUAAUCAGUAUCUGGAGAAGUUACAAAGAGUUCUCAGAACGGACCUCAGCAACCUGGUUCAGAAGGGAUAUGCGGCAUUUAAUAACACUCCAGAAAUGGUGCAGAACCAAACCCGAAAUGUUGAAGAAGAUGUAAAAAAUAUUUUGGAUUCCAUUGGGUCAAAUAUCUCCAAUUAUUCAAAAAUGAUACCUGUCCUUCAUAUUAUUUCCAAUUUAACAUCCUACCUUUCUCGGGGUGAAAUGUACGUACGGGAAUAUUACCCUGUGGUCGAACAGUAUGAUUUUUACAGGUGGUUGGCAUCUCUCGUCCUCUGCUGUAUGGUUGCCCUUAUAGUUGUCUUCUUCUACUUGGGUUUGCUGUGUGGUUCCUGUGGCUAUGACCAACAUGCUUCUCCAACCACCAGAGGCUGCAUCUCAAACACAGGAGGCACUUUCCUUAUGGCUGGCGUUGGAUUCAGCUUCAUCUUCUCAUGGAUACUCAUGCUAACAGUGGUCGUUACUUUCAUUACCGGUGGGAAUAUAGAAAAGCUAGUUUGUGAGUCCUUCCAAGACAAAUCUUUGUUUAAGGUUUUGGAUUCCCCUUAUCAAUUAAAUGCACAGUGGAAACAUUACCUUUCAGGCAUGCUGUAUCAAAAUCCCAACAUGAACCUUACUUUUGAAAAUGUAUAUAGUGAAUGCAAGGAGAACAAAGGAAUCUUCACUGCUCUCCAGAUGGACCAUAUUUUCAAUUUAAAUGAUUUUCUGAACAUAAGCUUGUAUGUUGAUGAUGUUACUGAUAAAAUUGAUUUGGUCAACCUAGACCUUCGUAAUAUAGUUUUGUUGGAUGAAAAAGGAAAACAAAAUUUAUUGGACUUCAGUGCAACUGGCAUUAGUGAAAUAGAUUUUGAUGAUUUCUUAUCAGAGGUUGGGAAGACUAGUACAAAAGUAGAUCUACUGGCAUUUGCUAAUGAACUGGAAGAAAACGCAGACAUGUUGCCAAAAGGAGCAUUAGGAAAUGCUUUAAAAGGACACGCCAAUAGCAUACGGAUGAUACAUAUUCAGCAAGUUGUUCCUCUGGAGCAGUCUAUGAAAUAUGUUAAAGCUAGGAUCACAUUAAAGCAGAGCAUUAAAUUGCUACAAUCAAUAUCGUUGGAUAUUGAGGAAAAGGUACACGAUGUGAUCACGUCUAUAGAUACUGCUCAGACUUUAAUCAACAAUAAUGCUUCAUGUGUUAUAAAACAGGAGUUUAAGAAGUUCCUGAAUACAGUCAUUGAUUACUUUGUUCAAUACGUUACUUGGGUGAAGGAUUCUGUAGCCUUGGAUGUAGCCGGAUGCAAGCCCAUUGCGAAUGUUGUUGACACGGCAGUAGAUGUAUUUCUGUGCAGCUACUUAGUAGAUUCUGUGAAUUCAUUUUGGUUUGGCUUGGGAGGAGCUACUAUAUUCCUAAUUCCUGCUAUCAUUUUCGCUGUUAAAUUAUCAAAGUUCUAUCGCAGAAUGGACACAGAAGACGUUUAUGAUGAUGUUGAAACUAUCCCAAUGAAAAAUAUGGAAAAUGGUAAUAAUGGUUAUCAUAAUGAGAUUUUGUAUGGUAUUCACAAUCCUGUUAUAACAAGCAUUUCUUCAUAUGACACAUUGAAUAGAUUUCCCCGUGCAUCUGCCCCACCACAUCAAGAUGAUUGAGGUGCGCCACCAAUGGUUUGAGAGUGCGAAGUGCUAUUGAGCAGUGGUAACAGACACAGGAGAUAGUGGUGCAGGAUUUAAGCUGUGAAAUUGUGUCCUUCCUGUCUCCAUUUCCUGCUCCCACCUUGUACAGUUGGCACAUUGAUGCCUGGCAUCUAAAAUUCCUCAAUGGAAUCUCGAGGAUUCACUUAUUCCAUCCACACGGAAUCAUUUCACUACAAUGGACACAAGGACUAUAGGCGUAAUGACACAAACCUCCGACAAAAUACGUUUAAUCCCUUCACUGUCAAGAGUAAUGCUAUGCAUAGCAGAACAAUGGGGUUAAUUACAAGUGUUUACAUUAGUCAUAGUUUUUGUAACAAUAACUUUUUUUAUUAUAUCCACUAUUUAUUUUGAUAUACAUAUUCCGUACAUGGUAUGAUUGCUUAAAAUCACAACACCUACCCAUCUCAAUUCACGGUCAGUAUUAGAUAAAACUGUCUAGUACAAUUUGGUCUCCUGUUCUAUUUAAUUUAUAACGUUCAAAUCAAAGCAUGAACGCCGUCUCCUGUGAAAAUCAUUUUGUGUGAUUGCUUGUUUGGGAAAGAAAGAUAAACCUAGGUAUCCAAAAUACAUAU